Molecule: long non-coding RNA, 1284 nt
Filed under: Xyrichtys novacula (pearly razorfish)
Lineage: Eukaryota; Metazoa; Chordata; Actinopteri; Labriformes; Labridae
Source: RNAcentral
ACCUUCCCCUUCCAUCCGAUGAAAAAAAAUCGCCCCUAGGACACCAGUUCAUGGACGUUUUAAAGUCAAUUGUCGUCUCUUUCUUGUCUCAUUCAGUUCUGGGCUCCUGAAGGCUCAUUUAUGCUAAAUGUUACAUACGGAUCUGAAUACGAACUGAGCUUUUUGUCCGUACUUUGUGUUCUUUUCGUCUGUAUUUCUGCAGGUAUCCUUUAAGUUUACAGAUACGGGCCAGACGGAGCAGUACCACAUAAAAACCAUGGGGGCAGUGUUGCUGCUGUCACUACCUGAUACGCACCUCUACAGGGAAACGAUGAAGACAAUGGCGGGGUUCUCUCAUCCGCAGGGUGUUUAGUAGCCUGAGUGACCACCGCCUCCUCCAACGCUGCCUCUGUUUCUGUCUCUUAUGCAGAAUAUACAUCAUCACUCGCUCCUCCACAGUCGCCAUGUUUCUUUUUGUUUGUUGUUGUCAGAAACUUUUGACUCCGUCCUGCCCCCUGGUGGAUGCAAUGGUUAACAUCCAUGCCAACGUAAAGGGCGCACAGAAGUAUGCGAGCAGUGACGGAACCAUCGUUUGAAACGGACGCGUACAUUUUCAUACGUAUGGCGAGCAGAAAUGAGCCUUUAGUCAUAAUUUUUGUGUCAUGAUGCACCAAGAUGUUGGUACUGCAGGCUGGAAAGUUUAGUCCCCGGACUCUUCUACUGCAGAGCCGUGUUCAAAUAAUGCAGACGUAAUAAAGUUUGGUAUCUUAUUCCUGAAUUAUAAAAGAUGUCCUCUAAAAAAAAGGGACGGUCAGGAUGGCAGCAUGUUGCUCGAACAUCUGUUUAUAUAGAUCAGCAUCUAUGAUUCUUUAAAGGGAGCCACACUCCAGGCUCUUAUUCCUCCCAACACCACCACAGAUGCCGACUUUCAAACUGUGCACCUCCUGAUCCCUCUCCUCUUGAAUUGUGACGGCUGCAGCGUCCACGAUUUCCAAAAAGAACAUCAAAUACUGACUUGCCAGACGUCUUGAUGGAUUUUAAUUUCACUUCAGUGCAUCCUAAGAGGACAUUUCUAGAUCAUGUUUUUAUCAUCAGUUUUAUUUUUAUGGGAGGGCUAAUGCAGAGAUUUCCACUGCAGAGGUGUCUUUAUUUAAUACAUUGCUGCCACAGGGCACUAAAGUCAGUUUUGGUUUUAUACAUGGUCCCUUUAAAACAGCCAUUUCUCCAGAUUCUGAGGCUCUUUUAAUAAUAAUAUGUACUUUAGAUGACAGAGUGAUGAGUCUCUUCUCCCUUUUUCUCAAUUUC